UAUUAUUAUGAUAUUUAUGAACCGCUAAUCUCUGAAAGAGUGUUUGGGAAGAGGGUUGUUCUAAGAAUCAGAAUUUACAGUGGGAAGAGGGUAAUAGGUAUAAAUUUGAACCCAUUGAAAUUGAAGAGAGAGAAAAUCGACAAAGAAAAAGUUGAGGGUAGAAUCUGUGAAGCUAUCGUUUCUUUCUGGUCUGAUUUGGGGAUUUCCGUUCAAAUGGACGACGGCGAGCUCGAUUUCUCGACGCAGGAAGUGUUUUCGAGUCCGAACAUGGGGGAGCUUCCGAGCAGUGGUUCCAUGGACAGUUUCUUCGACGAGCUUCUCAAGGACACGCAUGCCUGCACGCACACCCACACAUGCAAUCCUCCGGGGCCCGAUUUUUCGCACACUCAUACGUGCUACCACGUGCACACCAAAAUCGUGCCGGCACCUGAUGAGGACCAGGUGGCCACCGACGACACGGCGGAGUCCGCGGAGAAGAAGUCGAAGAAGCGGCCCCUUGGUAACAAAGAAGCGGUUCGAAAGUACCGUGAGAAGAAGAAGGCUCGCGCGGCCUCGCUGGAGGACGAGGUGGUGAAAUUGAGGGCUCUCAAUCAGCAUUUGAUGAAGAAGUUGCAGAACCAGGCUGCUUUGGAAGCUGAAAUCGCGAGGCUGAAGUGCUUGCUGGUGGACAUAAGGGGCAGGAUUGAAGGGGAAAUUGGUUCCUUUCCGUAUCAGAAAUCGCCGAAUGCGAACCCUCCGGUGGUUAACCUGCCUGGUUCUUAUGUGAUGAACCCUUGCAACAUGCAGUGUGAUGAUAGGGUGUAUUGCCUUCAUCCAGGAGCUGAUGGGAGAAUCGUGGAGAAUGUGUCGUUAAAUGGGGAAGAGUUUGGUGGUUGUGAAUUUGAGAACCUGCAGUGUCUAGCAAACCAGAAUUUGGGGCUCAAGGAGCUGCGUGCAUGUGGAGUUGGGCAGGCAGGGUCAAAUGUAAAUUCUUCUGCGUCAAAAAGAAAAGGGGGAUCUCGUGCAGCAACAGCUGGUUGAAGAAUUAAUAGAACGUUGGUUUUCAUCCUUGCCAUGAACUUAGGGCAGAUGGGGUGUGUUUCAUCUUUCAGUACUUAGUGCUGUGGACAGCAUUUUUACUGGACAAGGGUUGACUAAUAUGUAUCCAGAAGGAACUGUAGUCCCCUAAGUGAAGAUCUUGCAUGCGGGCUUGUCUUCUACAAGUUGAGACAUACAAGUGACUUGUUUUGUAUUUGAGAACGCUAGUAGCUGUACCUGAUUCAAUGAUGGGAAGCAUAUCUGCCUUUCUGCACUUAGAUAACAAGUCUUCACUAGUUUUUGGUGACCAUCUUUUCGGCAUUAGAUGAUUAAUAAAACAUUAUAUUAUUGUAUCUUCUACUUGGAUUGUCAUUUCUGGACAAAUUUUGUAAUAAUUAACCUCGCAUUGGUUUC
Molecule: RNA transcript, 1431 nt
Organism: Vigna umbellata (rice bean)
Lineage: Eukaryota; Viridiplantae; Streptophyta; Magnoliopsida; Fabales; Fabaceae
Gene name: basic leucine zipper 23-like
Source: RefSeq, a predicted model, not a curated record